Molecule: ribosomal RNA, 474 nt
Filed under: uncultured bacterium
Lineage: Bacteria
Description: bacterial SSU rRNA
Rfam family: Bacterial small subunit ribosomal RNA
Source: RNAcentral
ACUCCUACGGGAGGCAGCAGUGGGGAAUAUUGGACAAUGGGGGGAACCCUGAUCCAGCCAUGCCGCGUGUGUGAAGAAGGCCUUAUGGUUGUAAAGCACUUUAAGCGAGGAGGAGGCUACUGAGACUAAUACUCUUGGAUAGUGGACGUUACUCGCAGAAUAAGCACCGGCUAACUCUGUGCCAGCAGCCGCGGUAAUACAGAGGGUGCGAGCGUUAAUCGGAUUUACUGGGCGUAAAGCGUGCGUAGGCGGCUUUUAAGUCGGAUGUGAAAUCCCCGAGCUUAACUUGGGAAUUGCAUUCGAUACUGGGAAGCUAGAGUAUGGGAGAGGAUGGUAGAAUUCCAGGUGUAGCGGUGAAAUGCGUAGAGAUCUGGAGGAAUACCGGAUGGCGAAGGCAGCCAUCUGGCCUAAUACUGACGCUGAGGUACGAAAGCAUGGGAGCAAACAGGAUUAGAUACCCCUGGUAGGAUAGCG